CCCUCAUCCAAAACCUUCUAGUCUAAAAUCUUUCAAAAAAAUCAACUCGCAUAUGCACUCUUAGAAAAGAUAUAUCAAAUAAUUGAAAUGUUUUUCUUCCUAAUUCUCUCUUUUCAUAUUAUUCUUAUGUUUUUACUCUAUAUUUCUCCACAUUUUUACACUUUCUCUUAUUUCUUAGCCCAAAGCUACUCAAAAGUAGAAAUCAAAGUUAGAUUAUUGAAACUUCAAAUCCACUCUACAAAUUCGGUUAACUUAGCCUAUAUGCUCUACACCAUUCAAUUGUUUUCGUAAAUUCUUAGACAGUUCAUAUUUAUAAUUAAUGUUUAUCAAAAUAAAGGUGCAUUAUAAACCGUUAACCAAAGUCGUACACAUAAUUUGUUGGAGAAAUUGCUCUAGAUGCAAUUUUAAUAUUUUACAAACUAGUGAAGAGAUAUUAUAAAUUAUAAUUAAGAGUUAUGUUAACUUUGGACGUACAUUUAAGCUCAUUGCAAACAUGAACUGAAUUCCUAGAAAGUAGACUUUAAUUCAACCAACCAACAACAUGAAAUGUGAUUUACCAUUACGGUGAUACCAAACUCUCCCGAUGGAUAUGUAGAGCAGUAUGUGAUUGGAACCCGAUUGUACCAAUUAUCAAGCGAUAAUCCAACCCACCACUAUUUAAGUUAUAUAGAACAAAUUGGGAAGACCAUUUGUUUGCCACAAGAAGAGCACCAGUGUUGUCUAAUAUGAACAAGGGUUCAACAAAACCAAAAGAAGGUUGAUUCUCACUAGUGAUGAUCUUCAGUUUAGUCCAUGAUUCAGCAACACCGUACUCUUUCAUCAACCACACUUCCCAUUCAUGUUUUGAAGGAGAGACUUCACCGGAAGCCUCAGGAGGAUCUCGUUGAUGAGUUCUUCCGGCAAAACAGGCGAUGGAAUGGAAACGGUGUCGCUUUGACUGGUCAUUUUGAGUAUGUUUAGGGUUUCUAAUGUUCCUUCAAUGUACUUAUAGUAGAAUCUUAUGCCAAAGGUUAUUUUGGCUCUUUCAUCACCUAGAGCAGCAUUAUCGUUUGCUUUUCAUAAGUUGCUACACAUAUAUCAAAGGCCAUUAUGUUAGAAUAAAUGAGCAAUUGAAUAAAGAGAGCGUUUCAAUAUUUGCAAACGUUC
Molecule: long non-coding RNA, 1146 nt
Filed under: Lathyrus oleraceus (garden pea)
Lineage: Eukaryota; Viridiplantae; Streptophyta; Magnoliopsida; Fabales; Fabaceae
Description: Pisum sativum (pea) long non-coding RNA (PSAT_LNC026656)
Source: RNAcentral